RNAcentral lists this ribosomal RNA (429 nucleotides) under uncultured bacterium. Its description in RNAcentral is "bacterial SSU rRNA". It matches the Rfam family "Bacterial small subunit ribosomal RNA", at positions 958 to 1392 of the family's 1533-position model. The record is from RNAcentral.
AACGCGAAGAACCUUACCUAGGCUUGACAGUUGGGGAAAUCUGGCAGAGAUGUCAGGUCCGCAAGGGCCCCAAAACAGGUGGUGCAUGGCUGUCGUCAGCUCGUGUCGUGAGAUGUUGGGUUAAGUCCCGCAACGAGCGCAACCCUCGCCCUUAGUUGCCAUCAUUCAGUUGGGCACUCUAGGGGGACUGCCGGUGAUAAGCCGCGAGGAAGGUGGGGAUGACGUCAAGUCCUCAUGGCCCUUACAGGCUGGGCUACACACGUGCUACAAUGGCGGUGACAAUGGGAAGCGAAAGGGUGACCUGGAGCAAAUCUCAAAACGCCGUCUCAGUUCGGAUUGCACUCUGCAACUCGAGUGCAUGAAGUUGGAAUCGCUAGUAAUCGCGGAUCAGCACGCCGCGGUGAAUACGUUAGGGUCUUGUACACACCG